GCAGACACAUUCCAGCCAAUCAGCAGCAGACCCUCCCUCCCAGACCCUCCCAUCUCCUGGACAGCAUCAAUUUUGAAUCUGCAUUCUUAGUGAGCUGUCCAGGAGGUGGGAGAGUCUGGGAGGGAGGGUCUGCUGCUGAUUGGCUGGAAUGUGUCUG
Non-coding RNA from Pelobates cultripes (western spadefoot toad), 157 nucleotides. Lineage: Eukaryota; Metazoa; Chordata; Amphibia; Anura; Pelobatidae. The record is from the annotation of a GenBank genome assembly.